This is a long non-coding RNA of Etheostoma cragini (Arkansas darter), 253 nucleotides long. RefSeq lists it as uncharacterized. The record is from RefSeq and is a predicted model, not a curated record. Lineage: Eukaryota; Metazoa; Chordata; Actinopteri; Perciformes; Percidae. The transcript is spliced from 3 exons.
GUCCCCCGUCCUCAAGCCCUUCUUCUUCCUGCACCCAAAGUCUGAGCUGGAGGUGCAGGUGCACGUCGGGGGUCAACUGAUGGAGUCUUUCGUGGAGGCGGGGCCAGACGCAACUGAGCAGGAAGCCCCGCCCACCACAGCAGAGGACGAACCGGAAGCAGAGCUGCCCAGUGGACCACACAGCUUCCGUCUGGAGGACCUGGCCUUCACCCGGAGCGGAGACAAAGGCGACUCGGCGAACAUCGGUGAGAAC